GGCCCUCUUUGCAAAAAGUUUGGACACCCCUGAUUUAGUGCUAUACAAUGGAAAAAUAACUCAAAACCACUCAUUCUUUUUUCUCUGUCUCUUUACGGUACACGCAGACUUGUUGCGUGUACCGUAACUUGCGUGGGUGACAUUAUGAUGCAAGGGAUCUAUAAAUUUAAAAUAAUAUUGGAAUUCAUUCUAAAAAUAUUUUGCGAUAUAUAUCGUGCAUCGUGAUACAGCAAAAAUAUACCGGGAUAUUAGCAUUUUCCUCAUAUCAAUCAGCCCUAAUUCAGAGUUCCUUUCACUGGAACUAAGAGGCAAAGUCCAGCUCCUGAAAAACAACACCACAAUCUCCCCUCCACCAAACUUUAUACUUGGCACAAUGCAGUCAGACAAGUACUAUUCUCCUGGCAACUGCCAAACCCAGACUCAUCCAUCAGAUUGUCAGAUCGCGCCUCCACUGCUCUAGAGUCCAGUGGCGGCGUGUUUUACACCACUACAGACGACACUUUGCAUCACACUUGGUAAUGUAUGGCGUGGAUGCAGCUGCUCGAACAUGGAAACCCAUUCCACAAAAACUCUCUGCACUAGUGCCAUCACUGUGUUGUCUGGCCCAUGCCAGACGAUACAGAAGCUUUGGUAUAUGCGCCGAGCAAACAAGACGAAACCCUGUGUUGGCGCGCAUAUAGCUUUAAGGAAAACCAUGUGACCGAUACAGUUCCUCGUUUGGUUGUGAACGAGUCAAAUUGUAUUUAUGAGGGAGAAACUGUGUCGACACGUUUGUGGUUUUUGUUGGAUGGAGAUACUUUGCGUUCUUUGCUUUGCGUUGAUUUUUGGCUCGUAUUACUGGCAUCGAUCAAUCAAGAAAGAGGAUGUUUUCUCCCAUGUGGGAUCAUUUUGAUCUUAUCACGGAGAAUAAGGUAAAUUAUUAUUCUAUUCUUAUUUCCACUUCUGAUCAUUUUUCUUUCAGCUUAUUCAAAUUCCUUUCCAUGGGAUAUUUGAAUUAGUUUACAUGGAUUAGCUUUUAUUUACAGAUGAAACUUUACUCACAGGUGCUGUCUUACUAAGCACUCCCACAAUGCUGAGGCAUCAUCAUGCCCAGCAUGAUGGGAAUGAACCAGUUAAUAAAAACCUGGUGUUUCCAGGAAGCAGGGGAUUGAACUGGAGCUUCAACUCAACCAUCCCAGUUCAGCUGAACAUGGAAAUCGAAGAGAGCCAGGCCAAUUUAAAUGUCACCACUGAUGGAAUUAUCAUGGUACAAAGAUGCAUCUCCGAGGCAAACACACCAAGAUCACAGGAUCCGCUACAAUACUGAGAAAUGCAAAAACGUAUACAAACUUGCAAUUAAAUUUCUAUGUGCGCCAUCAUCAUCAUCAGUGUAAUGUAAAGGUGUUCACAAAACCAGGUGACAUGGUUUUGUAAAUUGUGCAAUCGCCUUGGCCCAAAGCUGUUACGGAAGCUGAUGUUUCUGAAUAAAAACAUGUGAAUGAACA
Molecule: long non-coding RNA, 1484 nt
Organism: Xiphophorus hellerii (green swordtail)
Lineage: Eukaryota; Metazoa; Chordata; Actinopteri; Cyprinodontiformes; Poeciliidae
Exons: 2
Source: RefSeq, a predicted model, not a curated record